AUGAACGCUGGCGGCGUGCCUAAUACAUGCAAGUCGAGCGAACGGACGAGAAGCUUGCUUCUCUGAUGUUAGCGGCGGACGGGUGAGUAACACGUGGAUAACCUACCUAUAAGACUGGGAUAACUUCGGGAAACCGGAGCUAAUACCGGAUAAUAUUUUGAACCGCAUGGUUCAAAAGUGAAAGACGGUCUUGCUGUCACUUAUAGAUGGAUCCGCGCUGCAUUAGCUAGUUGGUAAGGUAACGGCUUACCAAGGCAACGAUGCAUAGCCGACCUGAGAGGGUGAUCGGCCACACUGGAACUGAGACACGGUCCAGACUCCUACGGGAGGCAGCAGUAGGUAAUCUUCCGCAAUGGGCGAAAGCCUGACGGAGCAACGCCGCGUGAGUGAUGAAGGUCUUCGGAUCGUAAAACUCUGUUAUUAGGGAAGAACAUAUGUGUAAGUAACUGUGCACAUCUUGACGGUACCUAAUCAGAAAGCCACGGCUAACUACGUG
Molecule: ribosomal RNA, 496 nt
Filed under: uncultured bacterium
Lineage: Bacteria
Description: partial 16S ribosomal RNA
Rfam family: Bacterial small subunit ribosomal RNA
Source: RNAcentral